CAUGACAGCAGACUACGUUAUCCUUUUUUUCUAAGUUUCAUAUGUUUUUUAUUAAUCAGUUGAGUAAAAUUUUAGAAUUGUGAAAGAUAUAUGGUGGAUAAUACCAUUGCGCUUGCAAGAAUCAGGAGGGAAUUUAGGGAAGUGCUAAAGUCUGAAGAGACACAAGAUUGUAUUCACAUUGAAUUGGUAAAUGAUAAUUUUAUGGAAUUACAGGGGCAAAUAUCAGGACCUCCAGAUACACCCUACGAAGGGGCAGUUUAUCAUUUAGAAAUCAAGAUACCUGAUACAUAUCCAUUCCAUCCUCCUAAAGUUAAAUUUUUGACGAAAAUUUGGCAUCCAAAUAUUAGUUCUGCAACUGGUGCUAUCUGCCUCGAUAUACUCAAAGAUCAAUGGGCUGCCGCCAUGAAUUUAAGAGUAGUCCUUUUGUCGAUUCAGGCAUUGCUCUCGGCCGCUGAACCUGACGAUCCCCAAGACGCCGUUGUAGCCCAACAAUACAAAUCGAACCCGGAUAUUUUUCGUAUCACUGCGCGCUAUUGGGCCCAUGUGUACGCGCACGGGCCUGACGGAAAUCAUUCUGAAUUGGAAGAGAAAGUGAAAAUACUCAGCGAAAUGGGAAUUGAAAAAAAUCAAGCCCGUUUUGCAUUAUCAUCGUCUUCGUGGGAUGUAUCAGCAGCCAUGGAGCAUCUUUUCUCAUGACAAAUAUAUACUAUAUAACCUAAUCGUGGCCAACUACAAUAUGGUUAAAAAUUCUCGAAUUAUUGCUAUUUUAAAUUGGCCAGGCUUGAAUCAAACUUAAAGAUUAUGGAGGAAAAUACCAGAUUAUUGAAAUUGAUGGCGAUUAAUGAAUUAUUCGGCAAUUAUAAAUAUUUACUAUCUGUGCCAAAAUUUAUAACAGAUAUAUUCUUAUA
Gordionus sp. m RMFG-2023 is the source of this 908-nucleotide RNA transcript. It is a transcript of the gene named ubiquitin-conjugating enzyme E2 K-like, with no coding region annotated. The transcript is spliced from 8 exons. The record is from RefSeq and is a predicted model, not a curated record. NCBI's taxonomy places the organism in Eukaryota, Metazoa, Nematomorpha, Gordioida, Chordodea, Parachordodidae.